AUUGAAUGCUGGCGGCAGGCUUAACACAUGCAAGUCGAGCGGGGUGAUGGUGCUUGCACUAUCACUUAGCGGCGGACGGGUGAGUAAUGCUUAGGAAUCUGCCUAUUAGUGGGGGACAACAUCUCGAAAGGGAUGCUAAUACCGCAUACGUCCUACGGGAGAAAGCAGGGGAUCACUUGUGACCUUGCGCUAAUAGAUGAGCCUAAGUCGGAUUAGCUAGUUGGUGGGGUAAAGGCCUACCAAGGCGACGAUCUGUAGCGGGUCUGAGAGGAUGAUCCGCCACACUGGGACUGAGACACGGCCCAGACUCCUACGGGAGGCAGCAGUGGGGAAUAUUGGACAAUGGGGGGAACCCUGAUCCAGCCAUGCCGCGUGUGUGAAGAAGGCCUUAUGGUUGUAAAGCACUUUAAGCGAGGAGGAGGCUCUUUUGGUUAAUACCCAAGAUGAGUGGACGUUACUCGCAGAAUAAGCACCGGCUAACUCUGUGCCAGCCGCCGCGUUAA
This 503-nucleotide ribosomal RNA is filed under the name uncultured bacterium. Its description in RNAcentral is "partial 16S ribosomal RNA". It matches the Rfam family "Bacterial small subunit ribosomal RNA", at positions 30 to 523 of the family's 1533-position model. The record is from RNAcentral.